RNAcentral lists this ribosomal RNA (445 nucleotides) under uncultured bacterium. RNAcentral's name for it is "bacterial SSU rRNA". It matches the Rfam family "Bacterial small subunit ribosomal RNA", at positions 354 to 796 of the family's 1533-position model. The record is from RNAcentral.
GUAAGGAAUAUUGGUCAAUGGAGGCAACUCUGAACCAGCCAUGCCGCGUGAAGGAUGAAGGUCCUCUGGAUUGUAAACUUCUUUUAUGUGGGAAGAAAUGCAUUCUUUAUAGAGUGUUUGACGGUACCAUAGGAAUAAGCACCGGCUAACUCCGUGCCAGCAGCCGCGGUAAUACGGAGGGUGCGAGCGUUAUCCGGAUUCACUGGGUUUAAAGGGUGCGUAGGUGGGGAAGUAAGUCAGUGGUGAAAUCUCCGUGCUUAACAUGGAAACUGCCAUUGAUACUAUUUUUCUUGAAUUUUCCGGAGGUUAGCGGAAUAUGUCAUGUAGCGGUGAAAUGCUUAGAUAUGACAUAGAACACCAAUUGCGAAGGCAGCUAACUACAGGGAUAUUGACACUGAGGCACGAAAGCGUGGGGAUCAAACAGGAUUAGAUACCCCGGUAGUCC